UAAGAGUUAGUUAAAUAAUAAUAUUAGGUUGUCAACCUUAAGUAGCGAAGGCACUCUUGU
Molecule: transfer RNA, 60 nt
Filed under: Ligia oceanica (common sea slater)
Lineage: Eukaryota; Metazoa; Arthropoda; Malacostraca; Isopoda; Ligiidae
Description: tRNA-Asp
Source: RNAcentral